GAUGAACGCUGGCGGCGUGCCUAAUACAUGCAAGUCGAGCGAACAGACGAGGAGCUUGCUCCUCUGACGUUAGCGGCGGACGGGUGAGUAACACGUGGAUAACCUACCUAUAAGACUGGGAUAACUUCGGGAAACCGGAGCUAAUACCGGAUAAUAUAUUGAACCGCAUGGUUCAAUAGUGAAAGACGGUUUUGCUGUCACUUAUAGAUGGAUCCGCGCCGCAUUAGCUAGUUGGUAAGGUAACGGCUUACCAAGGCGACGAUGCGUAGCCGACCUGAGAGGGGGAUCGGCCACACUGGAACUGAGACACGGUCCAGACUCCUACGGGAGGCAGCAGUAGGGAAUCUUCCGCAAUGGGCGAAAGCCUGACGGAGCAACGCCGCGUGAGUGAUGAAGGUCUUCGGAUCGUAAAACUCUGUUAUUAGGGAAGAACAAAUGUGUAAGUAACGAUGCACGUCUUGACGGUACCUAAUCAGAAAGCCACGGCUAACUACGU
This 496-nucleotide ribosomal RNA is filed under the name uncultured bacterium. Its description in RNAcentral is "partial 16S ribosomal RNA". It matches the Rfam family "Bacterial small subunit ribosomal RNA", at positions 28 to 506 of the family's 1533-position model. The record is from RNAcentral.